Molecule: ribosomal RNA, 799 nt
Filed under: Spirometra sp. JB-2014
Lineage: Eukaryota; Metazoa; Platyhelminthes; Cestoda; Diphyllobothriidea; Diphyllobothriidae
Description: partial 16S ribosomal RNA
Rfam family: Archaeal large subunit ribosomal RNA (bases 567-799)
Source: RNAcentral
UUGACCGAAAAGCUUUGAUUUAGCGAGGGGUUGGUUAAGUAUUUUGUGGCGGGUCGCCAUGUGAAAUCUUUCGUUGGAGGUGAUAAAUGAGUCGUUUAGCUUUAUAUCUGUUUGGGGGUUUAAUGUUUUGUGUUACUCGUUUGGUGAGGAGAUCUGGCGAGUGUGUAUAUCAAUGGUUGUAUUUAAAUUAGCUUGAGGUUAGGGUUACCUUUAGUUUAUGUGUAUGUUACAGUUGCUUUUAUUAAUUAGUAUUGGUUACGUUUGGUGACCUCCCUUGUGUUAAUUUGUUGAAUUUAGAUUAUCACUUAAUAAGUAAUUUUAUUAAUCUCUUUGUUUUUCAUCUACAUCCCGUCUGUUUAUUAAAAACAUUUCCAUCCGGGUAGUAUUGAUGGUAGUGCCUGCCCUAUGUGUUAUAAAUGGCCGCAGUAUCUUGACUGUGCGAAGGUAGCAUAAUUAAUUGCCUUUUAAAUGGGGGCUUGUUUGAAUGGUUUGACGUGGUUGUUAGUAACAUGGUGAUUUUAUUUUGAAAUUGAUUUUGCGAAUUCAGAAUUUGCAUUAUUUAAUUAGACGGAAAGACCCUAGGAUCUUUGAUAUUUUUGCUUGGGGCAAGUGUUGGUGUUUUAUCCUUUUUUUGACCCUCAUUACGAGUUUAAAGAUUUAAGUUACCCUAGGGAUAACAGAGUGAUAGUUUAUUAGAGAUCUUAUCGAUUAAACUGUUUGCUACCUCGAUGUUGACUUGGGUUAAAUGUUUCGGCGCAGUAGUUGGAAGUUUUGGUCUGUUCGACCAAAGGUACCCCCA